RNAcentral lists this ribosomal RNA (23 nucleotides) under Abies concolor. Its description in RNAcentral is "partial 26S ribosomal RNA". The record is from RNAcentral. Lineage: Eukaryota; Viridiplantae; Streptophyta; Pinopsida; Pinales; Pinaceae.
GCGACCCCAGCUCAAGUGAGAAC